RNAcentral lists this transfer RNA (720 nucleotides) under Novosphingobium acidiphilum. RNAcentral describes it as "partial contains 16S ribosomal RNA, 16S-23S ribosomal RNA intergenic spacer, and 23S ribosomal RNA". The stretch from base 203 to 276 matches the Rfam family "tRNA". The record is from RNAcentral. Lineage: Bacteria; Pseudomonadati; Pseudomonadota; Alphaproteobacteria; Sphingomonadales; Sphingomonadaceae.
ACCUCCUUUCUAAGGAUCGAUCGGACAGAUGCCAUGGCUUAGCCUGGCGGAUAUCUUCCAAUCGUUUCACAGAAACAUUGCCGUCGUCCUCAUGUCCCUUCAUCACUGGAGAUUGCCACAGCAUGGUCUGUGGUAUCUGCCUGAGCCGGCUUGGCUGCGCACUGGGGCUUGCCCUGAGGGGUGUUUUGCCGCGGGCACUGAUGGGCCGGUAGCUCAGGUGGUUAGAGCGCACGCCUGAUAAGCGUGAGGUCGCAAGUUCAACUCUUGCUCGGCCCACCAUCUCUCUUUUGUUUUGAGUACCUAUGAGGGGCCUUAGCUCAGCUGGGAGAGCACCUGCUUUGCAAGCAGGGGGUCAUCGGUUCGAUCCCGAUAGGCUCCACCAUUCCUGCAUGCCGUUGGUGUGUGGUUGAGUGGUUGGAAAGGCACUUGGACAAACAGACAUCUCCAGAUGAUGAAGACACCAGAUCCGGCUUUAGGGCCGGUAAGAUGCGGGAGUUAUCUCUCGUACGCUUCUUUGACAUUGUGAAUGGGUUUUUAAUCGAUGCCGUGACGCAUCGUGUGGAUCGACGGCCGGAGUGAUCUGGUGGGUUCGAUGUGCGCGCAUGCGACAUAACAGAUGUCAAAUCUGGCUGAGAUUAUCGUCCGCACCUAGAACAACGCAGGGUUUAUGCAGACCUGAUGUUGAUGGUGUGGAUUCUCAAGCGUGAGGUAAGAGCAUUU